CUGAGGGAUGUAUGCUAUGGAAGGUGGGCUAGCUACCUCACAGACCAGACCUGACCAUGAGGGAUGUAUGGUAUGGAAGGUGGGCUAGCUACCUCACAGACCAGACCCUGAGGGAUGAAUGCUAUGGAAGGUGGGCUAGCUACCUCACAGACCAGACCUGACCCUGAGGGAUGUAUGGUAUGGAAGGUGGGCUAGCUACCUCAUACCAGACCUGACCCUGAGGGAUGUAUGGUAUGGAAGGUGGGCUAGCUACCUCACAGACCAGACCCUGAGGGAUGUAUGCUAUGGAAGGUGGGCUAGCUACCUCAGACCAGACCUGACCAUGAGGGAUGUAUGGUAUGGAAGGUGGGCUAGCUACCUCAGACCAGACCCUGAGGGAUGUAUGCUAUGGAAGGUGGGCUAGCUACCUCAGACGAGACCAGACCCUGAGGGAUGUAUGCUAUGGAAG
RNAcentral lists this long non-coding RNA (448 nucleotides) under Salmo salar (Atlantic salmon). RNAcentral describes it as "lncRNA (ENSSSAG00000099620.1)". The record is from RNAcentral. Lineage: Eukaryota; Metazoa; Chordata; Actinopteri; Salmoniformes; Salmonidae.